UGGUAUAGAAAUGUUUAGAAAAUUACACUUCUUUGAAUUGAACGGGCUGGCAGAAUCGAUUAGAUACAUGUUAUUUUACAGUGGUCUUGAAUUUGAAGACAUAAGGCAUGAUAUGAAAACGUGGCCAUUUCAGGAAAUCAAAGACUUGUUCUAUUUUGAGAUCUUCAAAGUAGAAAUACAGAAUAGGAUGCUAGUUAUACUACAUAUGACUUUCGCGUAGCAAUAUACUCCUUGACCCCAGGCAGAGAAUGGAUAUAAUUGACGAGAGCUACAAUGGUCGGGUAAUUCUUCUCAAUGUUUUCUUCUGUAUAUAAAUUGAGUGUCUCAAGUAUUCCAA
Long non-coding RNA from Amyelois transitella, 337 nucleotides. RefSeq lists it as uncharacterized. The record is from RefSeq and is a predicted model, not a curated record. Lineage: Eukaryota; Metazoa; Arthropoda; Insecta; Lepidoptera; Pyralidae. The transcript is spliced from 2 exons.